Molecule: long non-coding RNA, 1334 nt
Filed under: Zonotrichia albicollis (white-throated sparrow)
Lineage: Eukaryota; Metazoa; Chordata; Aves; Passeriformes; Passerellidae
Description: lncRNA (ENSZALG00000011114.1)
Source: RNAcentral
CAUUUUUAGUUAAUGAGAAGCCAGCUUUAUUUAGCUCUAUUAAGCACUGCAUUUGAAGUGCUUUUAGGAUUGCAAGCCAUCAUUAUAAGUCACAACACUUGUCAAGUUAGAGGUGGGGUAUUUUUUUGGAAAGGAUAAUUAAGAACGUCUUUCAAAUGCAUCUGAUGAGUGUUUUCCUCCUUUUCCCUGGUGCCCAUAGAGUUCGCUAUCUAGUGAACUGCAGUCCGGCAGGAAGCACGAUGGCCUGGAAAGGCCACAAGAAGGAAUCUCCUGUGAAGGGACAGCAGGCAGGGAAAUUAAAUGGAAGGGCAAAGAGCAGCCACAGCAACACGCAUGUGCCGCCAGUUACCAGAAACGAUCUACCGAGUGUUAAAAAGCGCAAACAACAAGCAGGACAAAAAAGCCGAAAGCAACUUGAUUUAAGAAGAACAGGGAGAUUAGGCACUGAGCCUCUGUAGGAGAAAUUUGACUCUUCAGCAGUGUGUGAUGAAGAUGAGUAGGAGUUUAUCUGGCUGUCUAAAUGUGGAAAAACAUGCUGGCCUGCUCAUUCUUCUUGAUCUAGCCCUAGCAUCAAAGGAAAUUUGCUUUGCAUUAUGAAGCUUGCUGAUGUCAGAAGGAAAAAAAAAAUUAGGCCCAGAUGGCAUGAUGCUAAAUAGAGCUGAGUACGAAGUGUGCGUGUUGAAAGAGGCCAAUCAGUUUUUGCUGAUCCUGAAUAAGUGUGAGGAGGAAGAAAAAUAUUUGCUUUUCUAUUCAUUUUCCUUAAAGAGACCUAAACUGUGUAUAUGUUAUAGCUGAGCAGAAGCCUGGAUGAAAAAAACUCACUGUGUUUAGAAGGAUGGUCCUGUUGUUAGUUCUAAUAAUUCCCAUCUCCAUCAUGUUGUGUUACUGACUGUUAUCUGGAACCCUGAUUUCAUGACUAAACAUGGUUCAACCCUCUACAGAUGGGAAAAAAAGAUUAGGACUUGUUCUUGAUUUGUUAAAAUCUUCAAGUGAGCAAAAAUUUGUUUUACAUUUGAGUAAGUUGGCUACUCAUUUAUCUAGAAAGGACAUAUAUAUCCACAUUUGUGGGCAUGUAUAAUUUAAAUUAGAUUACUAGUAGAAGAUUUGUUUUUUGGCUAAAAAGUACUCAAGGAAGUAAAGACUUAAUAAUAUUUGUUUCUCACAUUUAAAGAAGGAAUUCCAAAACAAAAACCCAGGCAAUCUAAAAUGUCUUGUAUGGACCUGAGCUUGAUUCAUUUAAUAUUAUUUAUGUCUAUUCCUGGAUUACUUUGGGUUAGAGUCUGGUUCCUUUAUAUGUGAAUAAAAAAUAAAAAUCAAAGUUAUGUUCUUUAUUC